ACGGCUCGGGAUAACGUCCGGUAGCGUCACGGCAACCGCCGGAAGUUGCUCCCGGAAGUGCGGGUCAGGAGGCGCCCGGCGGGCAACAUGUCCGACAACGAGGACAACUUUGACGGGGAUGACUUCGACGAUGUGGAGGAGGAUGAGGGCCUGGAGGACCUGGAGAACGCGGAGGAGGAGGGACAGGAGAACGUGGAGAUUCUGCCCUCGGGAGAGCGGCAGCAGGCGAACCAGAAGCGGAUCACGACCCCCUACAUGACCAAGUACGAGCGAGCCAGAGUCCUGGGCACUCGUGCCCUGCAGAUAGCUGCUGAUCCCAGACCAGCAGCAGCUCCCAUGGCCUCACCCACACAUAACAUGAGCUUUCUCUGCCGUCACUGUCCAGGGGCUGGAAGCUGUGAGCAAGUCAGAAUGAUGUGUGCCCCUGUGAUGGUGGAGCUGGAAGGAGAGACAGACCCCUUGCUCAUUGCCAUGAAAGAACUCAACUGUAGGCUCUGGGGAAGAUAUAAAGGCCUGAACUGACCUGAAAAACUGAAGAUGAAGAGGAGGUAUGGCUCAAGGAAUACACAGGCAGCAUCUCGAUCAUUCUGCAGAUGUCUCCAGGAGCAUUCAGUCAGCAGUGGUGAGGACAAGUCAGGUUACCUCAAGGCUGUACCUGCAAAGUGCUGUAGUUUGCAGCAGGGACCACCUCUCUUUCCACAUCAGCAGGGCUAGAAUCCUGAGUGAUGAACAGAUUUGGCCUGGUGGAUCAAAUUGGGAAGAAGAUGCAGGUGUUCUGCUAUGAUUCACUCACAGGUUGUGGAAAAGGAGACAGCCUGGAGCAGCUGGACACUGAGGAACUAAAGAUUUUUGUCAGCUUUUUGGGAAUCCCAUUUCAGGAUUUGCUGAAUCUUUUUCCUUUCCAUGGAAAGCUGGUCCAGCAAACAGCUUGCCAAGUGGUAGUAAGGUUCUGGUAUAAGAGAAACAGGGCUUUUAAACCAGGCAUAGUGAAAUUACUCACAUCAGUUCAGCAGCACUGUAUUGAGGCAAACUCUUUCCAUCAAGCCCACUCCCAUCUGCUGUAAAUAUUAACUCAGUCCAAACCAGUCCCAUUUGCAGAUCCAAAUUCAACACAACCUAAGACAACUAACAGGGAGAAAUAA
Molecule: RNA transcript, 1142 nt
Organism: Vidua chalybeata
Lineage: Eukaryota; Metazoa; Chordata; Aves; Passeriformes; Viduidae
Gene: POLR2F
Gene name: RNA polymerase II, I and III subunit F
Exons: 8
Source: RefSeq, a predicted model, not a curated record